UUUUGGUUACCAGUAAAUGCAGAUUCCAUGCACGCAGGGCUCUAACGGCAAGGCUCUGCACUGAGCAAAAUGUCAUCUCCAGCUUCAUCUCCUCAGCCCUUGUUUGCUGGGGCUGGGGACCCAGAGGGUCUCUGGGGGCACUGGCGUUAGCACAAAUGCUCACAAUUGUUCCCAAUUAAGUGGAUUUCUCUUUACUCAGGUCUCUUUGAUCCUUCAGAAAAAUAUCAACAGCAAUUUAGACGUUUGUGGCGCAUGUAAUACAUUUAAACUGUUAUGCUGCUAUUAUGUCGUGCCUGGAAAUAACAUGUAGCGUAUUUGUAAACGGCAAAUUGUGGUAUUGGCCUUUUGUUUCAGCUCUUGUGAGCCGCGUCCUUUCCAAAUCAAACUUGGGGGAAUAAUGUGUAAUAAGAGCAUGAAAAACAGAAACAACUGCCAUAUCUUGGGAGCAGCACCCUCUAUGUUCUCUGCAAUCAAAAGGAUCCCUGCCGCUGUCAAAGGUACAAUGAAAUGGGCUUUGGGGCUUUUAAGGUUGGAGAAGGGAAUUUCUGAUCGCUUGUUUGCUGCCACAGGGCAGCUGCUUGUCCCCAGAGGAGGCGAUGGCUGCGCACCGUUGAGAGAAGGCUGCACGAAGACAUCUUCAGAUGCAGGAAUUCAGCUGGAUAGCAGCGGCUGAGGAGAGCUGGGAGCCCCACUCCUGCCUGCUGGGAGCUUGUGGGUUGCUGGCAGCCCCAGGGGGACACAGCACCGUGCUUGGUGGGAGGAGAUGCAGAGGCAGCACACACAAGUGGCUGAGCCCCGCAGAGGAUUGGAGCAAGAGACCUACCUGUCCCCAGCUAUGCAGAGCACGUGUCCGUUUGGGGAUCAGUCCCUGCCUUGAAAGAAGGGACAAGAGGGAGUCACGGAAGCCGAUCUCCCCACGUGUUGCGGUGCCUGGUGUGCCGGGAAGUGUUCUGCUCAGCUGGCCGCUGACCUGCCCAGCGUGUGCCGCGCCGUGA
This 995-nucleotide long non-coding RNA is filed under the name Anser brachyrhynchus (Pink-footed goose). RNAcentral's name for it is "lncRNA (ENSABRG00000015459.1)". Lineage: Eukaryota; Metazoa; Chordata; Aves; Anseriformes; Anatidae. The record is from RNAcentral.